GAGGCAGCUCCUGCUCGGCUCUCCCGGCUCUCCCGCUCCUUCCCUCCCUCCUCCCGCCCGCCCUCCCGCCGGGGAGGGCCCGUUCCGCUGGCGGCUCCGGGAGCCCGCGGCGCUGUCAGGGCCGGGCUCUGAGGGAACUGGAAGGCUGCUGGAAGGUCUCCCUGGAGCAUUCUCCAGGUUGAACAACUCCAGCCUGUUCAGCCGUUCUUCACAGGAGAGAUGCUACAUCCCCUGAGCCUUGGCCUAAUCUGGAUGUGCUCCUGCAGAAGCUCUCCAUAAGCCUUCACAAAUGUCAGUGGAAAACAAAGCAACGUGCAAAUAAUAAAGCACAAAACAGUAAUUUAUUAUUGGGUAUUUYGAAGCAGAAUAAAGGAAAUAAUGAGCAUGAAAAAUUAUUCAUGGGACUGAUAUUAUUUCUUU
This is a long non-coding RNA of Malurus melanocephalus (red-backed fairy wren), 420 nucleotides long. RefSeq lists it as uncharacterized. The transcript has 3 exons. NCBI's taxonomy places the organism in Eukaryota, Metazoa, Chordata, Aves, Passeriformes, Maluridae. The record is from RefSeq and is a predicted model, not a curated record.